Molecule: long non-coding RNA, 1480 nt
Organism: Ictalurus punctatus (channel catfish)
Lineage: Eukaryota; Metazoa; Chordata; Actinopteri; Siluriformes; Ictaluridae
Source: Ensembl
AGUUAUGUGCACGCCUGGAACAAGUAUAAUGUGGAUCAAGUCUCAGCAAAACCUCACCUAUUGUUAUUAUUAAACGCACAGCGAGGAGAAGACUUGUGAUUGCAGGUAAAAAAAAAAGUAUUCAGCAUUUCACAUUUGUUCGACAGCCCCGAACAAGGAUGUUUUUGGAGUUGUUGAAAAUAACAUCAAAUGCACACAUCACGAUGCAUUUUCCUCAUCAACAUUAGGAUUAACUGCACCAGAAAUAAAUGUUUCAUCAAAGUUUUCAAUUUUUUAAAUAAAAUAUUCUAGCAUUUUGCACAAGGAGCACAUCGUUCAAACAAACGUGCAUGUGCAAAUUCUGAAUGUGAAAAGUAAUCAGAUUCAAGUUUACAUGGGUGUUAUUCUUUUAUUUAAUGGAUUAUUAAUAAAAGGAUUACCCACUUGAAUCGCUUGAUAGAAAUCUCACUAUGAUUGUCUUCAAGAGGUGUGUGUGUGUAGCUGUAUCUAUAUAAAUAUCUAGAUAGAGAUUUAAGCUGCAUGUAGCUAUUACAGUUGUUAGCGCUGGAAGUGUAAUUCCUCCCCAGUCCUGCGGUGGCGCUGUAACCUGCAUCUUCACUCACAGCGCGUGCUUUCCUAGUACAGGCGUGCGCGCGCUACAUAUAUCCCCAGCGAGAAGAGAAAAUGGAGGAAGUCAUUACGUUGACCGCGUUGCAGACUACCUAUAUUCCUAAAUAUCUCGUUGUGAUGUGAAUGGCUCAGGAACUGCUCGUUAUUAAACACUAUUCCCAGUUCAGCAGAGCCUGAACGGCACCCAAACAGCUGAAGUCAAUGAGGGAUUUACGAAAUGAUUAUUCCUUAAAGAUGGGGCCGUACCCACUUUAUUUGGACCAUUUUGCGCCUCUGGAUCACAACCUGUAAGUAUGAUUGGUUAUUCAUGUAUAUAUUUUCUACUGAGUGUUCCAAAUGCGUAGUUUUGUGGUGUUUAUAUGUGUACAGCCAGUGUACUGCUGUAGGCCUCUGUUAACCGGCUAACUCACAUUAUUGCCAAACUACCUACAAACCUACCACUGAGAAACAUUCUGUUCUCAUCGUGCUUGUGAUGGUGGUUCGGGUUGAUCUUCCGACGUAUCAGACUCGGGGCUCAAAUUGAUGAGGUAAAUCCGACAACAUUAUUACUGAGCUGAAAUGAUAUAAGAUAUGAUAGUGAGGGUUUCAUUUCCAACGCGUUGUGAGCGGUAUAACAAUCACAACAGACUUGGGCAUCUGACCAGUCAGAGCAGAGUAGACUCUCUGUAAGGAGGAGUUUAGUGUGAACAGAUCCUUGAGCGAGUCGUUUGUAACCCUUUGAACAAGAGGUGAUGCUGCAAUGUAAAUUAUGAGAAAAUUUGUGUUUUUUGACCUUGGAUGCAUGUAAACCUUUUGUUUGAGAUUUCUAAUACAAAAUUAGGCACUUUUAUACAGCAUAAUAAGGGCACUUUAAAGAAAAGGUAUUUAAAAA